This 90-nucleotide small nucleolar RNA is filed under the name Babjeviella inositovora NRRL Y-12698. The record is from RNAcentral. Lineage: Eukaryota; Fungi; Ascomycota; Pichiomycetes; Serinales.
UUACGUGAUGAUACCUUUUAUAUUCACACUGUACUAGAACUCUGUUCGGUGACUACAAACAUAAAAAAAACUGAUUUAAUGAAUCUGAUU